CUAUCCCUAACCCGCUCUCGUCUCCCUCGGACGCAGCCGGCCGCCGAAUCGAAUCCCGCCCGCGGGCUCAUCUGCCUCGCCAUGGCCGAUGAACGCGUCGGCUGCGGCCGUGUCCCUCUCCCAACGGCGGCGUUGAUGGAGGGAGCAGCUGGCGGUGGCCAAGCUGCCGAUCGAUGGACGCGCCGGGCGUCACUCCUCGGGUCCAGCCCCUCCCGCUCCCUGCAUCUCUCCCUGUCUCCUCCACGAGCUGCACGGUGCGCAUCCCUCCUUCCCGCAUGCUUCUCCUCUCCCUCCCCAAAUCGCCAUGAAUCUCGCGCUGUUGGAGCCCCUCCCCUCCUUCCCCAAUCCGCCGUGGAUCUUGUGCUGCUAGAGUUCCUCCUCUCCCUUCCCUGGCUGCCAUGGAUCUCGCAGCCGCCGCCGCCGCCGCCGCCGCAUGAAGCCCCACAUCCCCAAGCUCGACGGGCUUGGCAGCCGACAACGGGCAAACCCACCACACGUCUCACAAUCCCCAAGCCCCUAUCUUCUCCUCCCCCCUCACGGCUACACUGAUGCGGUCUCCUUUUGUAGGAAGUACGUACAUGCAUCCUUGUGAGGAAGAUUGAUCGGGAUGGAGAAAUCAGGCGACGCGGAACCACACCAAGCUCCAAUACUAUCGCCUCGUGUGUUGCCUGCUCCACCUCCUUACGGAUAUGCUGCUUCUUAUCAUGUCCCAGCCGCUGGUGUCCACACUGUCCCUUGACUCUAUCUAAAGCGAGGCAGACCUUGGCUACAAGCCUCGGUCCAGCGCACGAGUGUUCGUCCUGAUUCUUCUAACUGACGAAGCUUUUGUCGAUCUUACUAUUUUCAGGUGCGACCAAUCCAAGUGUUCAUCCAUUCUGGUCUAUUUCUUUGGAUAAUUUAUGGAGGCCGUGGUUCUGGUAUUUGUAUGUAUUCGCAAAUUGUUCACAAGGCCUGGUUAGUAUCUUGGACUGCAAAAGCACAUCUCUUAGUUCUUUAAUAUGCAAUUACUUAGAUUUUAUUGUCCUAAAUGUAUGUAUCCUUAAUGCCAUGGUUUGUUACUUAUGGUUGUUGUCAAAGGAGGAAAUAAUAGGGAGGAUUGGAGAUGCACUGGGCAUGCCAUGGCAACGAAACAAAAGCUUAUUACUUCAAUUCAAUUAUGCAAGCUGAAGGUACAAACUAUUAACUCCGAUCUUCUAAUGCUUCCUUUCUUUUUUUUUUAAUGUGGUUUGGCUCGACAAACAAUAUUUCUUUGUGGCAUACUGCACUAGCUCUAAUUUGAGUACUUCAAUUCAACUUAAAGUAGCUUAUUU
RNAcentral lists this long non-coding RNA (1310 nucleotides) under Triticum aestivum (bread wheat). RNAcentral's name for it is "long non-coding RNA (TAES_LNC023085)". Lineage: Eukaryota; Viridiplantae; Streptophyta; Magnoliopsida; Poales; Poaceae. The record is from RNAcentral.